UUACCAGGGUUGACAUGCAAGUGGUAGGAAUCCGAAGGUGACCGACCCUUCGGGGAGCUUGCACAGGUGCUGCAUGGCUGUCGUCAGCUCGUGUCGUGAGAUGUUCGGUUAAGUCCGCUAACGAGCGCAACCCUCGUCGUGUGUUAUACGUGUCACACGAUACUGCCGGUAUCAAGCCGGAGGAAGGUGGGGAUGAUGUCAAGUCAGCAUGGCCUUUAUAUCCUGGGCUACACACACGCUACAAUGGCAGAUACAAUAGGUUGCGAAACCGCGAGGUGGAGCCAAUCCUCAAAGUCUGUCUCAGUUCAGAUUGUAGGCUGCAACUCGCCUGCAUGAAGUUGGAGUUGCUAGUAAACGCAGGUCAGCUAUACUGCGUUGAAUACGUUCCCGGGGGUUU
RNAcentral lists this ribosomal RNA (397 nucleotides) under uncultured Leptolinea sp. Its description in RNAcentral is "bacterial SSU rRNA". It matches the Rfam family "Bacterial small subunit ribosomal RNA", at positions 971 to 1382 of the family's 1533-position model. The record is from RNAcentral. Lineage: Bacteria; Bacillati; Chloroflexota; Anaerolineae; Anaerolineales; Anaerolineaceae.